This 694-nucleotide long non-coding RNA is filed under the name Manihot esculenta (cassava). RNAcentral describes it as "long non-coding RNA (MESC_LNC007693)". The record is from RNAcentral. Lineage: Eukaryota; Viridiplantae; Streptophyta; Magnoliopsida; Malpighiales; Euphorbiaceae.
UUAGUAUGAGAUACUAUGCAUUAUUGUCUAUAUAUAUAUGCAUAUAGGAUGCUAUAAUAUAUAUAUGCAAGACAAAAUAAUUAUAAGAAAAUAGAAAAUAAAUUAUUUUAUUUUAGUCUUUAAAUCAGAUUUAAAUGACUAUAUAAAAUAAUUUUAUUAUUUUGUUAUACAUUAGUAUGAGAUACUAUGCUUGAUGGUUUAUAUAUGUAUGCAUAUUGGAUGUCAUAAUAUAUACACAUGCAAGACAAAAUAAUUAAAAUUAAAAUUGAACCCUCAUUUCAAAAUUUUAAGUUUUAAUGCCACCCAUAUAUUAAAAACCUAUCAAGACUAAGAUCACCAAAAUGCAGGUUUUGCCAAAGCAAAGUGCAUUAGGUUAUCCUAGUAAGGUAGGAUGAGUAAUGGUUACUCAUUUAUUUAAUUUUGGUUCAGCUUAAUUAGGCUAUCAAAACGGUUUUGGGCCUAAGGCAUUAGAUGGGGUAUAACAUGCAUUUGACAUAUGAUGUCAAUACCUCAUAAUUAAGAGUUACAUUAGAUGUAAUUGGUAAGGGGUUACCUACCUAAAUAACUUAAUUCUAAGCGUCAUGCCAAAGCUGACUUAGAAUUAGGUGAAAUAUGGAUCUUAGCCCACUAAAAUAUUAUUAUUUUGAGGGUUAUAUUUUAGUGGGAGAUUAUUAUCACCUCAAUAUUAAUUUGU